This 429-nucleotide ribosomal RNA is filed under the name Verrucomicrobiota bacterium. RNAcentral's name for it is "Verrucomicrobia bacterium partial 16S ribosomal RNA". It matches the Rfam family "Bacterial small subunit ribosomal RNA", at positions 355 to 776 of the family's 1533-position model. The record is from RNAcentral. Lineage: Bacteria; Pseudomonadati; Verrucomicrobiota.
UAGGGAAUCUUCCGCAAUGGACGAAAGUCUGACGGAGCAACGCCGCGUGAGUGAAGAAGGAUUUCGGUUCGUAAAACUCUGUUGUUAGGGAAGAAAAAAUGUAUAGUAACUAUAUACAAAAGAGACGGUACCUAACCAGAAAGCCACGGCUAACUACGUGCCAGCAGCCGCGGUAAUACGUAGGUGGCAAGCGUUGUCCGGAAUUAUUGGGCGUAAAGCGCGCGCAGGUGGUUUAGAAAGUCUGAUGUGAAAGCCCACGGCUCAACCGUGGAUGGUCAUUGGAAACUAAUAAACUUGAGUGCAGGAGAGAAAAGUGGAAUUCCUAGUGUAGAGGUGAAAUGCGUAGAGAUUAGGAGGAACACCGGUGGCGAAAGCGGCUUUUUGGCCUGCAACUGACACUGAGGCGCGAAAGCGUGGGGAGCAAACAGG